CCUACGGGUGGCAGCAGUGAGGAAUAUUGGUCAAUGGACGCAAGUCUGAACCAGCCAUGCCGCGUGCAGGAAGACGGCUCUAUGAGUUGUAAACUGUUUUUGUACGAGGGUAAACGCAGAUACGUGUAUCUGUCUGCAAGUAUCGUACGAAUAAGGAUCGGCUAACUCCGUGCCAGCAGCCGCGGUAAUACGGAGGAUUCAAGCGUUAUCCGGAUUUAGUGGGUUUAAAGGGUGCGUAGGCGGUCGGAUAAGUCAGAGGUGAAAUUCUGAGGCUCAACUUUGGAAUUGCCUCUGAUACUGGUCGGCUAGAGAGUAGGUGCGGUAGGCGGAAUGUGUGGUGUAGCGGUGAAAUGCUUAGAGAUCAUAAAGAACACCGAUUGCGAAGGCAGCUUACCGAGCUACUUCUGACGUUGAGGCACGAAAGCGUGGGGAGCAAACAGGAUUAGAUACCCUUGUAGUC
Molecule: ribosomal RNA, 460 nt
Filed under: uncultured bacterium
Lineage: Bacteria
Description: partial 16S ribosomal RNA
Rfam family: Bacterial small subunit ribosomal RNA
Source: RNAcentral